RNAcentral lists this ribosomal RNA (395 nucleotides) under uncultured bacterium. Its description in RNAcentral is "partial 16S ribosomal RNA". It matches the Rfam family "Bacterial small subunit ribosomal RNA", at positions 360 to 773 of the family's 1533-position model. The record is from RNAcentral.
AAUAUUGGACAAAGGGGGAAACCCUGAUACAGCGACGGCCCGGGAGCGAAGAAGGCCUUCAGGUCGUAAAGCUCUGUACUAAGGGAAGAAACGGACGGGACCUGAGGAUGAAGCCGCGGCUAAUUACGUGCCCGCAGCCGCGGUAAUACGUAGGGGGCGAGCGUUAUCCGGAAUUACUGGGCGUAAAGGGUGCGUAGGCGGCCUUUUAAGUAAGAUAUGAAAGGCUACGGCUUAACCGUAGUUAGCAUUUGAAACUAAAAGGCGUGAGUGCAGGAGUAGAGAGUGGAAUUCCUAGUGUAGCGGUGAAAUGCGUAGAUAUUAGGAGGAACACCAGUGGCGAAGGCGACUCUCUGGACUGCAACUGACGCUGAGGCACGAAAGCGUGGGGAGCGAAC